RNA transcript from Cyprinus carpio (common carp), 1416 nucleotides. It is a transcript of the gene named sterol carrier protein 2-like, with no coding region annotated. NCBI's taxonomy places the organism in Eukaryota, Metazoa, Chordata, Actinopteri, Cypriniformes, Cyprinidae. The transcript has 4 exons. The record is from RefSeq and is a predicted model, not a curated record.
GCAGAGCUGUGCUGGCAGCUGAGGGGGGAGGCGGGGCCUCGGCUGGUGCCUGGGGCAAAGGUCGCCCUGCAGCACAACAUCGGUCUUGGUGGAGUGGUGGUCAUCACUCUCUACAGGAUGGGCUUUCCUCAAGAAACAAGCUCUCGGAUCGCUCAAAGGCUUCAAAUUUCACGCUGUCUUCAAGGAGAUAGAGAAGAAGCUACAGGAGGAAGGAGAGAUAUGUUAAGAAAAUUGGUGGUGUUUUUGCUUUCAAAGUGAAGGACGGUCCAGGUGGAAGUGAAGCAUUAUGGGUUGUGGAUGCAAAAAAUGGCAAAGAUUCAGUAGUCAGUGAUGCAGGUAAAAAGGCAGACUGCACCAUCUCAAUGUCUGACUCAGAUCUGCUUGAACUGAUGACAGGGCAGUUGAAUCCACAAAAGGUACAGUUUAAUGAUGGUUUAUUCUUAGUGGUUUGUUGAUGUAUUGUGUUUUUUUAUAUAUAAACAACAGCUAUUCUGAAGUUGGUGUAUAUCAGUGUAGUUUGAGGGCUAAAUAAGGUUUGAGAGUGUCAUGGGACAGAGCCAGUGGUGCAGGGUUAGUCCCUCUUAAAGGGCUCAUGAACUGAGAAAUUAAAAUUACCUUGAUCUUUUGACAUAUAAGAGGUCAUUUUACUAUUAAAACAUCCUGUAAGCAUCUAAAAACAGCUUAUAUUCAAGCCAGUCUGCCAUGUGCCACUUUAUGACGUAAUAGUGUGGCUAAACUCCACCUCUGCAGAAGAAGAUCAACGCCUACAUCUACAUCACUGCCUGUCUAGCCUUACCCACAUUUGCACAUGUAGUGUAAAUAAAGAGAGAGGCAAAUGCAUUCUUGAAAUUUUAAGAAGUCCAUAAAACUUAACAACUCUCUAUGAAAAAAAAAGCUUAACAUAGAGUUACUUUGACAUUCUCUUGACCUGGCUUUAGCUACCAUGACACGCAUACAGGAUCAAAAAAAAAGUUAUUGAAUUCCUGUUGCGUGCCCAACCAUUUCUUAUGACUUCCAUCAUACACAUUAAAGCACACAAAGCCUACUGACGCAGAAUGCCGAUCAGAAAGAAGCUUUAAUGCAAUUCCAAAUUAGGCUAAUGGCCUCUAAUGUUUCCUCUGCUGAUGUGAGUCAGAGCAUGAAAAAUAGAUUGUUUUCAUAAGCCCUUUGAAAUGUCAAUCCCCCGUGAUUUAUCCAUCUGUGUUGACUCAACAAACCUCCAUCAUGUCUGUCCAUAUGUGGAACAUUACAUCAGACAUCAGAUGUUUUGACAGAAACUUAAUCUAAAAAUUAGCCACUCUUUUCACAGUAAUCCUCCAUAAAUUUAAUCUUUAAUCUGAAAUAGAAAAGCCGAACCAUUCAGAGCUCAAAUCCAUCAUACUCACGACAUGUAGAAAUGGCCAAAUGUAGAAAAAA